This 513-nucleotide ribosomal RNA is filed under the name Triticum aestivum (bread wheat). RNAcentral describes it as "partial small subunit ribosomal RNA". The record is from RNAcentral. Lineage: Eukaryota; Viridiplantae; Streptophyta; Magnoliopsida; Poales; Poaceae.
AUGGCAGAGGAGGAGAAAAUGACAGAGGUGUUUGAUGUUGGUUGUGUCACAAAUGAGCAUGCAAGGGUUCCAACUCCCACAUAUCAAGGUGGCCCGGCUCAAGUCGAUUCGGAAGAUGAUUCUGGCUGUGAAUGUGAGCACGUCCAAGUUACACCUCUCCCGAAUCGUGUAAAGAGUAGGAAGAAGAGGGCAUGUCCUUAUUCGCGUAUGGUGGCAAGUGAGAUUGCUAAAAACAAGGCACUUGUGCGUUUGGUGGAAAUUUUUGAGGCGAGGGAAAAGAGAGUGACAAAUCAAAGUGCAAAAGAGAUUGUGGAUCCAACAAGACAGGAGAUUCAAGACGUGAUGGCCAUGGUGAUUGCAGACGGAGCCAAACCUGGGAGUGAUGAGCAUUUCUAUGCUUCACAUCUUUUGUUGGAAAAGAAGAAUCGUGAUGUUUUUACCUCGUUUAAGGGUCACAAACCUAGUGAGAGGCUUGCAUGGAUAAGGAGGAUGUGGGAGCUCAACAAUAAGUAG